AACUUUCAACAACGGAUCUUUGGUUCUCGCAUCGAUGAAGAACGCAGCGAAAUGCGAUAAGUAAUAUGAAUUGCAGAUAUUCGUGAAUCAUCGAAUCUUUGAACGCACAUUGCGCCCUUUGGUAUUCCAAAGGGCAUGCCUGUUUGAGCGUCAUUU
Molecule: ribosomal RNA, 156 nt
Filed under: Lodderomyces metapsilosis
Lineage: Eukaryota; Fungi; Ascomycota; Pichiomycetes; Serinales; Debaryomycetaceae
Description: Candida metapsilosis 5.8S ribosomal RNA
Rfam family: 5.8S ribosomal RNA
About the family: 5.8S ribosomal RNA (5.8S rRNA) is a component of the large subunit of the eukaryotic ribosome. It is transcribed by RNA polymerase I as part of the 45S precursor that also contains 18S and 28S rRNA.
Source: RNAcentral